Molecule: ribosomal RNA, 253 nt
Filed under: uncultured bacterium
Lineage: Bacteria
Description: partial 16S ribosomal RNA
Rfam family: Bacterial small subunit ribosomal RNA
Source: RNAcentral
UACGUAGGGCGCGAGCGUUGUCCGGAAUUAUUGGGCGUAAAGCGCGCGCAGGCGGUUUCUUAAGUCUGAUGUGAAAGCCCCCGGCUCAACCGGGGAGGGUCAUUGGAAACUGGGAAACUUGAGUGCAGAAGAGAAGAGCGGAAUUCCACGUGUAGCGGUGAAAUGCGUAGAGAUGUGGAGGAACACCAGUGGCGAAGGCGGCUCUUUGGUCUGUAACUGACGCUGAGGCGCGAAAGCGUGGGGAGCAAACAGG